CCUACGGGAGGCUGCAGUGGGGAAUAUUGCACAAUGGGGGAAACCCUGAUGCAGCGACGCAGCGUGGGGGACGAAAUACCUCGGUAUGUAAAGCCCUUUCAGCAGGGAAGAAGAUGACAGUACCUGACCAAGAAGCCCCGGCGCAAUACGUGCCAGCAGCCGCGGUAAUACGUCGGGGGCAAGCGUUAUCCGGAUUUACCGGGGGUAAAGGGAGCGUAGGUGGCAUGGCAAGCCAGAAGUGAAAACCCGGGGGUUAAGCCCGCAGAUUGCUGUUGGAACUGGCAGGGUGGAGUGCAGGAGGGGCAGGCGGAAUUCGUGGUGUAGCGGUGAAAUGCAUAGAUAUUACGAAGAACACCGAUUGCGAAGGCAGCAUGCUGGACUGUAACUGACGUUGAGGCUCGAAAGCGUGGGGAGCAAACAGGAUUAGAUACCCCAGUAGUC
RNAcentral lists this ribosomal RNA (441 nucleotides) under uncultured bacterium. RNAcentral describes it as "partial 16S ribosomal RNA". It matches the Rfam family "Bacterial small subunit ribosomal RNA", at positions 338 to 795 of the family's 1533-position model. The record is from RNAcentral.